RNAcentral lists this unclassified non-coding RNA (3049 nucleotides) under Dimorphilus gyrociliatus. RNAcentral's name for it is "g_PROTEIN_RECEP_F1_2 domain-containing protein". The record is from RNAcentral. Lineage: Eukaryota; Metazoa; Annelida; Polychaeta; Dinophilidae.
UUUUAGUUGGGGGAUAAUAUCAACCAAUAACAAACGAUUUCAGAAAGAGAAUAUCGCGAGAGCGUUCUAUCGUCGAUUGCUGGUUAAGCUUGGAGUAGAGUCUUCUCUUUCUCAAUUUGUUUCCUAACAAGACAUCUGCAAUAGAAGGAAGAGAGGAGAAAAGAAGAGAAAUCAAAAAUUAUUUUGCCAUUUGUACUUUUUAUUGCCAAAAUCAAGAAUCAAAAAGAGAUACGAAAAGUAUUGCACUUGUACAAACAAUAUAUAUAAUUUGCUGUUGGCCAAAAAUAUUCUUUUUGAAUUUUUGUUAUCUACUACCAAGAGGAAAAGCGAAAGAGAGAGAGAGGGAGGGAUACAGAGAGCCAAAGAGUAGAGCAAAGAUUGUGUGUCAGUAAGUAAAAAUAAGAGACAGGGUGAAGGACAGAGCUGGGCAAAAGGAAGAGGACUGGGAGAUAAAAGGAAAGAGAGGGAAUUAUUGAAAGCUUCUAAUAGGAUGAGAAUGACAAAACUUUGGAUUUGAUAAAGAAAAAGCGAUAUAGUUUGGUCGUUUUAUUUAUCCAAUAAACCUUAAAAUCAAGGAGGAAAGGAAGGAAGGAAAAGAGAAAGGAGAGAAAAUCGGUCAUUCACGUAAAAUGCCUCUGUCUGGAAACAACUCAAGUUUGGUUGAUAACUCGAAAAAUAAUUUUUACGGAACCCCGCCUGUUCAAAUCAACUAUCAAUCAACAGCAUGGAAAAUUCAGGCUAUGUAUCUUAUAUUGUGCCCAAUUGUGUUUCUAAUUGGUAUUGGUGGAAAUCUUUUGGCUACUAUUGUUCUUAGAUCAAAGUCUUUUCGAAAGGUGCCAUCAUCCAGAGUUUUAGUAGCUUUAGCGAUUGUUGAUUCACUUGUAUUGUUGGUUGGCGUUCUAAGAGUUUUCACUACAUCUGUAAGCGAAAAAGAAAUAAGAAAUGUAAAUACCGGUCUUUGCAAAUUGCAACCAUUUCUAGAAUUUUGGAUGACUCACUCAUCAGCAUGGCUCCUAGUUCUCGUUACGGGUAUGAGAGCAUUGAGUUUAAUAUCUCCACUAAAGGUUAAAGCUUGGAUUACGCAUCGGGUCGAGUGGAUUUCUAUAAUAAUUGUUCUUUUGGUUACAUUCGCUUCUAAUUCAUAUGUUUUAUUCGGUAUGAAACUGGAAAGUAAGACUAAAACAAUAAGAGUGUGCCACGACGGCUGGAAUAAAGGAUUGAGUGAAGCUAGAGAACUUUUCGAUCAAAUAUUCGGCAGUUUUAUCCCUUUUGCCUUUAUCCUGACGGGAAACUUGAUCAUCCUUUCCUUAAUGUUAAGAUCGAGGAGAACUCAACAGAAUCUAACGCAAGGUUCUAUAAAUAAAGAUCAGAAUAAGAUCAAGUCAACAACCAUCAUGCUUCUAACAGUCAGCUUUGCAUUUCUCGUAACGACUGCUCCAUUGCUCGUUUUCUCGAGAGAGUUUAAUAACAUUCAAGCCCGCAUUGGUCCAGAUAAUACUGGUUUGCUUUGGAAUAGUUUUCAAAUACUAUUCUAUUCUAAUUAUAUAUUGAACUUUUACUUGUAUUGUGCCUCUGGUAAAGCAUUUAGAUUAGCUCUUAUAAAAAUCCUAAGUCCUGAAAGUACAAGAAAAUUUUCGAAUGGUUCACACGGCCAAACACAAAACUGCACAGUAACUUCAAGGGGAAUUUAAUGUAUUUAUAAUUCUACAUCUAUAUAUAUAUUCACUUGUCUCCAGAUAACACUAAAUCACUCUAACAGCACAGUAUCAUGUCUGCAAAAGACACCUUACUACAAACUAUAGAUAACUCACAAACUACUUUAUCAAUAUUUUUAUAUCAUUGUUUUCUUUUCAUAAUUGAUGAAUUAGGUUACUGAUUUUUUAAUUCCCUUUGGUAUUAAUCAUUUUAUCUUGAACAGUAAAUAACUUUUUACCUUAAUAUUUUAUAUAUUCAGAAAAUUCAAUUGUUUGUAUUAUCGUUAACAGAACGCCGAGAAGUUUUGCUUCUUUUUACGUUUCCUUUGUUUCUAUGUAGUUUUCCUUGUAUUUCUCUUUUGUAAUUAUUGAAAAAAACAAGAGCUAAACUAAUAAUAAGGGUUAUUAUAAACAUAUGAAAGAGGAUACAAUGUAUAUAGUAAAAAAGGUUUUGAUAAGUUUCUUUCAGUGCCAAAGAUUUUUUGUUUUGAGUUAAUCAACGAAAAACUCGUACAGAAAAAGCUUAAAAUUGCUUAGAGGGAUCUGGGUAUUGACGAUAAUAAUUGAUGAAUAUACGGUAAUAUAUUACAUACAUGUAUACUUUAUUAUUAAAGCUAGAAGGCAAAUUUCGUACACGCAAACGGUAAAUACAGAGUAUUAUUGAUACUGUAUGUAUAUUAUAUGUACAUAAUCUUUUGAUUAGUAGAGAGAAGGAUCAGCAUUCAGUAUAAGAAUAGAUUUCACAAAGAAAGGCAAAGUUAUUAGUAUUUUUUGUAAAUUAUUGAAAUUAUAUCUGAAAAGCACUUCCCAGUUCAACCAUAUUAAUAAAUCAUUUGUACUUAUUACAAUUUACCAACACUGAAGCAUGAAUUAUUCAUAAAACUAGAUCUAUAUUAUCUCAGUGCAAACCAUUAAACUGAACAAAGUUUAAGGAAUGCAUUAAAAGUACUUGUACAACCUUUUUGAAUUAUUCAAAACGUUCUUAAUUAAACUUUGGCGUUUACGUGACAUAAAAUUCAAUGUUAAAGUUUCCUUACAAAAAGUUGCGAAAAGUAAGUCAAGUAAGAUAAACAAAUGAUCAAAGUAUUUGUUACAACAUUAAAAUUUAAAUAAAUAAACAAAUAAAUAAAUAUUGUAUAUGAUGUUUUUUUAUAGAAAACGUAUUGUUGUUGUUGUUGAAAAAAAGUAAAUACACAGUAAUAUCUACUUUAUAAAAGAAGAGUAAUUGCAAGAGAAAACAUCACGCAGACAUUCCCUUCUCCUAUCUCUUUGAUACUUUGAUACUUAUUUUCUUUUUUUUUUGAUAUAAUCAAUAAAUAAACCAAAUCAUUUGAAUUGAAAUCACUGCGAAUGGA